Diceros bicornis minor is the source of this 792-nucleotide long non-coding RNA. RefSeq lists it as uncharacterized. The record is from RefSeq and is a predicted model, not a curated record. The transcript is spliced from 6 exons. Lineage: Eukaryota; Metazoa; Chordata; Mammalia; Perissodactyla; Rhinocerotidae.
CAUUCCUGCUUUUCUGAACACCAUUAAUGUAUUUUCCAUUUGCCUUAGCCUAUGUCCUAGGAAAACGUCCUAAGAGAAGGCAAUAACCAAGGAACAGGAGUCUUCUAAGAAAUAGCUCUCCUCCACGUCAUCGAUGGGCAGUGGAGGUACCAGAGCUUCAUUUGAGAGCAUCUUAGGGGAAGCAGGGUCACCAAAGAAGCCAGAGUGGAGGCUGCAGGGAGUGUGGGUUUGAAUGAACUUCGGCUGCUACAUCAAGAAGGCUGAUUACUGAGGAACCAUCAAAAGCUUCACCCGAGUGACUCAUCACCCAGAUCCAACAGAGAGCACAUCAGUCACUUUCCUGCCUCCCUGCUCUCCCGUUGGCAUGCACGCUCUCUCCUUGGCGCCCCCCUCCCACACACCAGUUUGAUGAAAUCUCUAUAUCCUCCUCCAAGUAUCAGCACAUGACAAGCCUCCUGAGUUUUCUGUGAGCAUCCUAUCCCGGGACAGAGGUUUUCUGGAAGUGGCCUGCUGUACCACAUGCAGCAAGUGGACAGGUAUAGUCUUUCUGGAAGAGGAGCCCAGGUAUCUGCCUGCUGAUUUUCCUCAGGAAACCAAGAAACCUCAGUCAUCAUUGGAGACCCCAAACAUAGGACUGGACAUGUGACUCAUGUGAACACAUCAGUGUAUGUUGCAUUCUCAUCCUCUAAGACUGAGCAAGUAACCCAGGGCAGGAUUUUGAAAACAGUAGAGAAAAUUAGAGCAGAGAAAUGGAAGGAGAAGGAGAAAAUGGGGGAGAAAGGAAGAGAGAGA